This is a long non-coding RNA of Papaver somniferum (opium poppy), 840 nucleotides long. RefSeq lists it as uncharacterized. The record is from RefSeq and is a predicted model, not a curated record. NCBI's taxonomy places the organism in Eukaryota, Viridiplantae, Streptophyta, Magnoliopsida, Ranunculales, Papaveraceae. The transcript has 2 exons.
UGAUCUGGUCAUUUCGAAAUGUUGAUACUUGAGAGACUACAAGUUUGUCCAUGUUCAUAAUAUCUUUUUCUAAUUCUGCCCGGUAGAUUAAAGAACCAUAAGUGCUGAAUCAUCACUAUAAAAUGUUAUGCACAGGAAAAAGAACUCCAAGUGUUGAAACCUGAAUUGUGCUCAAUUUAGUUCUUUCAGACUUGCAUAUUUGAUAGUGCUUUGGGUAUGAUUGCAAUGCUGAAGAAGAAUCAUGUUGAGAUUUUUUCCAAUACUGCUGUAGAACUUGUUAGUAUUUUUGUAUUUGGUUCAAUAAGUUAAAUUCAUUAUAGAGUAGUAGGUCAAGAAACAAAGUGAGGCAAAUAAAUUGAAAUGUAAAAGAAUGUGUUGCAAGUAAGUUAUACUCUUAUCGUACUCAGUGUCUGUACUCCAGAAUAAUAAAGAAAAGUUGAUUUUGUUGCAGGUUGAUGGGAGUUUAAUCUUAUAUAACCAAAAGAGAAUAAUAGUGUGAGCCUAGUUUCACCAAAUACAAAAGGAAGGACCAAUAUGAGGAAAUCAAUGGAACAUGGGGAAAAGCCUGAGAGGAAAACUUGAAGAGUGGAAUGGAGGAUUUUUCCUGCUGCUUUGGGUGUUCCUUGAAGUUUUUUGUUGGAGAAUGGAGAUGAUUUGAACUUACUAAUAGUGCAGUAGUUGUGUCUUUUAGUACAAUACGCUUGCAUAAGUCUCACAAGUUGACAGACAAUUGGGAAAUUUGAUAAAUCUGCAAUAUGGAGCAUUGUAAUAUGGAGCAUUGUGACAUGAAACUUGUCAUCUGUGUUUUGAAAUUCUCUUUAUACAUCAAAACAUGCCUCA